AACAUUUUCCCUCAAAAGACAAAUACACCUCAAUCUAAAGUCACUUUAAUUUCCUCUUUGGCUUAUAUGUACCACUAAUAAAUAUACCCCCACAAAUUAAUAUCUCUCAAACACAUUCACAAAAAAUAUGGACAUGGAAAUUGAGCAAGAGGGCAACUACAAUAAGCCUAAGAAACUCAAGAAUUUCAUGUCAAUUAAAACACUUCUUAUUCUCAUAUAUUGUAUCUUCCUUUUAGUUGGCCAAAUAUCAGGUGUAUUGCUUGUUAGAAUUUAUUAUUUACAUGGUGGAAAAAGAAAAUGGUUGCAAUCUUUAUUGCUAACAGCAGGAUUCCCAAUCUUGAUUUUACCAAUUUCAAUUUCUUAUAUGAAAAAAAUGAAAAAAAUUACUAUCAACAAUAAUAAUAUUAGACUUUUUGUCACACCUAAAUUAGCAAUAUUUAGUGCUAUUUUAGGUAUCCUUUUUGGUAUUUGUAGCUACCUCUACACUAUUGGCAUGUCAUAUCUUCCCGUUUCGAUUUCCUCUCUCCUCUCUUCAACGUCCCUUGCAUUUACCGCGAUUUUCGCGUAUUUCAUGGUAAAACAUAAGUUCACACAUUAUUCGGUGAACGCGGUGGUCUUGAUGAUGCUAGGUUCGAUUAUAUUAGGGUUGCACAUGAAUGGAGAUCGUCCGAUAGGUGAAUCGAAUCGGCAAUACACGUUAGGGUUUGUGAUGACAAUUAUUGGUGCUGCUCUUCAUGGAUUUUUAAAUGCAGGAGUUGAGUAUAGUCAUGUUAAAGCUGGAGUUGUUGUCACCUUUGAUCUUGUCAUGCAAAUACAGUUUCUUAUAUCCAUGUUCUCAUCUUUGUUUUGUAUCGUUGCCAUAAUUAUCAACAGAGAUUUUCAGGUAAUCGUCUCAUUCAAAAGUUUAAGCAGUUAAAAAAGAAUUAUAGAUAGUCAUAGUAACGUACGUACGAUAUCCAUUUUAUUUUAGCUUUUUACUUAUAUAAACUAGUAAAUAAGAAGUAUAUAUAAAUUUUAUAUUACUGGUGUAAUUUAAUCUACUAUAACAUGUUAUUUAUCUUAUAUGAGAAAUUAAAUAGUCUAGCAAAGGAAACAUUAUAUUACAAUUUUAAAAAUAGAUAAAAGAAUUUAAAUUCAUAAAAAUCGUGAAAAAAAUAAUAUAAUUGAUUUGUUCUGUUUUAUGCGAUAUAGUUUGAAUUGACCAUGAUGACAAAACUUACCAAAGAAAUGAAGAUUUCUAAAAGGAAAAAAGAAGAAAGAAUUCGAGUUAACAAUGACAUGAACUUUCUUUCUCUUUAUAAGAGUGAAAAAAAGCCUCCUUUUCAAAAGAUAAUCAAGCAGCGUCAAUGACAAGAACUUUUUUAUUUACAAGAGUGAAAAUGAAAUUUUAUGUUAUUAUAAAGGGGAUAUGUUCAAGCGUGAGCGAUUUAUCUUUCUUUUUAGUCCGUUUAUACAAAAUAUCUUCUUCUCUAUAUUUAAUAAUUCUUUAAUAUCUAAUAUUUUACAUGAUUUUUUAAAAAUCAUAAGAUUUAAAGGGCAUUUUUGAUACAUUACAUAUAUGCCUGCAUCUUUAAUUUAAGACUACAAAAUUAAAAGAUCUCUUUUUCAUUUUCUAAAACUUCAUGCAUAGUCAAACUACGACACUUAAAUUAGCAUCGAGAAAGUACUUUUUCUUUAAGAGUUUAAGAUAUAUACGUCGUCCAUAUAAAUCAUAUGCACACAACACAUCAGAUUCUCUUCACAUGUUAUAGCAGGUAACCUGCUAUUUUAUUUGCAUGCAAGAUUACAAAUCUCAUAUCUUAAGGAUGUCUGCCGAUCUAUAAAUAUUCUUUGAAUAACCUGACAGUGUAAGAAAAUCUUUUUAACAAUAUGUAGGCCAUCACUAGAGAAGCUGAAGAAUUUGGAUUAGGGCAAAAAAAGUACUAUAUGAUAUUAGCAUUAACAGCAAUAUCUCUACAAACUAUGAUGAUUGGAAGUCUUGGGAUGAUUUUCUGCUCCUCAGCACUAUUGUUUGGGAUAGUAAAUGCACUUCUAAUUCCAAUACAACAAAUAUUUGCUGUCAUUUUCUUGCCUGAAAGCUUCAAUUCUGACAAGUGGAUGGCUUUAGCUAUGUGUCUUUGGGGUUUUGCUUCUUAUUUCUAUGGAGAAUAUAAAGAUAGCAUGACCAACAAGGUUACAAAAAAUAAACAUGCUACCCUGCCAGACCAAGUUUGAAUAACAUUAAUGUUACUUUUUCUGUAUGUAUUCAGUGAUGUACGCAUAAUUUAAUGUAUGUAAUAUAUUAGUAUUACAACUCUGGCAGUAUGAGAAUUUGGGUCGUCUUGGAUCGUGGAGUUCUUAUAAGACGUUUAUUUUUCGAUUGUAAAUUGAUGCAUGUUUAUUUUGAUUACUUUUUAAGCGAUGUCAGUAUGUUGAGUAUUUAUAGUAGCGGAGCCAGGAAUUUUUUAAAAAAAAUUUAUGCCAAGAAAAUUUAACAACUUAUAUAUUAUUUGCAAAAAGAUAACAAAUAAAUCAUCUUUACCCUAUUUAAAUGCAUAGUACAAUUUUUCAACUUCGACCCCUUUGCCUCUGCCCGGUAUGUGAAUAUAUGUUAUGUACAUGUAUAUAUAUAUUAUCGAAGGCGGAGCUACAGUAUUAGAUACUAUACUAAAACAUAGUACUAGCUAGUUUCAUUUUUAUUUCUAACUUGGUCAUCAAAUGUUUUAUGUAUUGCUUUAGUUCAAGCAACAAAUUGUAUUUCAUGCUCUUUAUUCGUUACAUGAUUUCUUCUUUGUAUAGAUAUAUAUAUAGAAUCUAUGAAGUAUAUUUUGUGCUAUAGCCCCUCCUAUCUGAUAGAAAAGGAUCCCAUAAUCCUGAACCGAUCUUAUAUGGGGUUAUAAAUCCCAAGUUUGUCUAUGAAGAGAGGAUCUAAUUGUAUUAGUGUCUAUAAAUGAUUUCUUCUGUGUAAUAUAUACUAAUUGAUAAGACCUCAUUGAUAAGUGUAUAUUUUAUAAAUAAUUAUAUACUAUAUCAAUAAUCCCUCUGUCCCAUGUUAGAUGAUGGUCAUCUUACUGAAAAUAUUUGUCUCAUAUUACUUGAUCACUUACUAAAUAAAAAUAAAAUUAAUAAAAUUUUCUCGUUUUACCCCUAUAAUUAAUAUGACUUUUGGAAGUUUAAACAAAUUUUAAAGAUCUAAUUUUUUAAGAGUCUAAUUAAUAUGAACAAAGGACAAAAUAGUAAAAUUGAUCAAUCUAUUAUUGAUUUCUUAAUCACCAUGUUAAAUAGAAAUCGUUCAUCUAAUAUAAAACAAAUGGAAUAUUAUAUAAAUAUAAUGUAUAACCAAAUAUAUAUGAUGUAUAAUUAAUAAAUUAUGUAUUGCUGAUGUAUAUAUACAUCCAUCCUGGUUUUUUUAAAAAAUAUUUAUCACCAUAUGGUGGUGAGACCUCUAUAUUGAUGAAUAAAAUUGUCAAGCUAAGGAGAGCUUAAGCUCGAUCCAUUGUUCCAGUAAUUGCUUAGCAAAAACUAAGAUUCUGAUAAAGACUAUAUUCAAGUUUCAACAGUUAGGGCUUUUGGCCCUAAUUUCUUUUAUUCAUUUAUAUAUUUCUAUUAUUUUCUUUUUCUAUUAUUAUUAGCAACAAAAUAAUCCUUUAUUAAAUCUGAAAAUCGUGUCUCUUAUUCUUAUAAGCCAUAAAUUAUUUAUAAAAGCUACCAAAAAGGGUUAAUAUAAAAAUAAGGGAAAGGGGUCAAAAAUACCCCUCAACUUUGGUUUAUUGUUUGACUACGCCCUCGCCGUUAAAAUGAAGUUAUUUUUACCCCUCCCGUUACUAAUUUCACCAAAUUUACCCCUCAAUUGGAUGGAAAACCCAAAUCAAUUAAAAUUACCCAAUUUCAAUUAAAUAACCCAAUUUUUUCUCUUUUUAAUCCAAACCCGACCCAUUUAUACCAAAUUAAACCCCCAAAUCAAGCUCCGGCAAUCGCCAUUCAUUUUCUCCGUUUUCCGGCGAAACACCACCAAAACAACCUCCAAACGACCACCUGAAACCACCACUAAAAACCCCCAAGAACCAGAAACGACAUCAAGCAAAAAACAUUAACAACAAACCCAUUUUCCUCUACUUUCCAUUGACGACAACAAGAUCUUUCUUCUCCAUUUCCGGCCAGUUUCAAGCUGGAACAACAUUAAGCAAAUUACCCACCGUCGGAAUCAUUCAAACAGCCGUGAAACCGACCUGAAACAGCUCUCAAACACCACUCUCUCCACGCCAAAAUCGUAACAGAUCAAACCAACAACACAAUCAGGCGAGAAUCAAGGCUCGAAAACAACAGCCACAACUUCAUAUCUGGCUAGGCUCAACAAGCAAGCAAUAUCAUAGUUUCAGAUCUGCCCGCAGGAAAGCAAAAUCCGAUGAUUGAACGAGCUCCAAGCUCCGAAUAGUGGUGCAAUUUUAGUAGGAAGGACAAAUAUGCAUUAGUUUAACUACAAAAUAUUUGUUGUCAAUUUUAGUAGUAUGUGUUUCAAUGGAAGAAGGAGAUGGAGAAGAUUAGAGAGAUGGGUUUAGGGUUCUAAUUUGAUAUAAAUGGGUCGGUUUGGAUUAAAAGAGAAAAUCGGGUCAUUUACUUGAAAUUGGGUAAUUUUAGUUGAUUUGGAUUUUUCAUCCAAUUGAGGGCAAAGGGUCAAAAAUACCCCUCAACUUUGGUUUAUUGUUUGACUACGCCCUCGCCGUUAAAAUGAAGUUAUUUUUACCCCUCCCGUUACUAAUUUCACCAAAUUUACCCCUCAAUUGGAUGGAAAACCCCAAAUUGACUCAGUUUAACCCAAAUUUUAAAAAAAGACCCAUUCCCCAUUUUAAACCCAAUGCCCGACCCAUCCAAAGUUGAGGGGUAUUUUUGACCCUUUUCCCUAAAAAUAAUGGUUAAAAUUAUAAAACGACUAAGAGGGUCGUUACAAUCUAUAUUUUAAUGUUUGUUCUAUUAUAAUUAAUAUUUAUCUAACACGUAUUUAACUUAUCAGAUUGAAUGCUUAUUUACCUUUUUAAACCCAUUUUGUCAGCCUUAUCUUAUAAACUUUGUUUUCUCUAAAAAGAACAAAAUAAAGAGAGAAAGAUAAGAACGUAAUGUUAUGUCGAUAUACAGAUUGUUAUUGUCUUUCAUGUGCUUUAAUAAUUGGAAAAAAUUACGUAAUUACAUGAUUUUAGAUACCAUAAUUUUUGAAAAUUUCUACCAUUUGAAUUAAUUAUAAAACUUCUAUUUUUCCUUCUCUCUUUUAAUAUUCGGAUACAAUACUCUGCCUCUAUAUACAUUACAACUUUGUUUUUGUACAAUAUAUUUCACACAAAUAUUAUUGUCGAUACAUAACUUCAAUCAUUUUAAAUCUAAAUCAGUAUGAAUUUGAUUUAUAGUUAUGUAUCUGAUACAUAACUUAUAUAUCGUUUGCUAUAUAUCGAACUGAUGAGUAAUGUAUCCGCAAGUUUUGAAAAUUUCGAGAUUAUUGUAAUUUGAGAAAUUUUUGUGAUAGAAUGUAAUUAACACCAUUGUUGGGGUUUAUGUACUUCAUACCUAAUAAUUUCAAACAUGACUUGGCUUGUUUCAAUUUUGAAUAAUCUCGUUUUCUUUUCACCAACAAAAGUUAGAAAUCAAAUUAAAAACAAAACUUUUUGUUUGAAUAUUCCAAAUAUGUAUGAAGAAGUUGUCACCAAGCUAAGAUUGCUAAGUGCGCACCAGCGUCAAUUAUGCAUGUUAUGUACGUUUGAAUAUAAUUUUUUUUAUUUAAUCAUGACUAAAUUAACAUAUGUUUUUACUUUAUUAAAUCACUUGCUCAUGAUGAGUUGUAUUAUCGUCUAUAUAUUAUUUACUUAUCCUAAAUUUAAUUAGUUUUCAAAUGAUGGUUGGUUUACAAUCAACAACCGUAAAAGUGGCUAUUUGUUAAAAUUAUCCAAAAUGCGUAAAGCCCAGAAACUAAGAGCAUUAUAACAUGAAGUUUACAAUCAUAGAGGCCCAAAAUCAGGAUUCUAAUGGGCCACGGCCCAUAUAAAUGGUGGAUAAGCCCAAAUAGUUAAGAGGGGUGGAUGAACACAAUUUUAAACCAACAAACUAUUUUUCUUCAAUGUUUUUAAAUUAUAAUUGCUUUAGGUUGUACUCAAAAUUUACCUUUUAACACACUUAGUUUCAACAUAAUCCGUUCAAAAUUUUAUGAGUUUCACUUAUAUAAACUAACUUUGUUAUCAAUAGGCCAACAAAACACACAAAGAUAGUCUCUUCACGAAAAAUAUUUUUUUCAUGAAUAAUAUUUUUCAAUAGGAUAACUUUCGUCAUAUCGAGCACUUGUUAGUGACAUUGAAUAUGUGUUCAAAUUAUAACAAACCGUCAUUACAAAACCAUAAUACUCCAUAACCUAUCAAAUGGGUUGGGUCAAAACGAGUUAGGUAGUAGCUUAUAUAACGGGUCAAACCCAAUCCAAUUUAAUUUUUACCAAACUUAAUUAUUUUAUUUGUUUUUAAAACUAUUUUAGUACAUAGUAAAAUUAUUGUUUUCUUUUAUUACAGUUAUAAAUGACAUAUCGAAUUGAAAAAAAAAAUUAAAAAUAUUUUGACUAGAUUUCUCAUGAGUCAAUUUGGUUUACAUAUCAACUCAAUUUUUAAUGAAUUGAGCUAAUGAACGGAUGAGUUAAUAACCCACCCAAACUUAACGGAACGAGCAGGUUGGGUUUCAUUUGUCACCCCUACCUAUAGGCUAAAUAUACCGUAUCAAUACAUUACUUAGACAUGCGGCCAUUUUAAAAAGUAAAAGUUUUUUUUAUCACCUGUAAAAUAUUAGGCAAUAUUUGAAGGUAAUAUAGUUUCAAAAUAAAUACAAUACAUUUCAUACAUAUAAAAAAUCAACACAUUUGUUAAAUGAAGAUUAAAUAUAUAUGCUUAUCUAAAUAUCAUAAGAAACAAAACAAGAAUUUACUAAUAAUUAUCAUUAUAUUAUAUUUAGUGGCAAUAAUAACUAUGAGUAUUUAUAUAAUCAACACUAUAUAUAUGCCGCUAAAAGUUUUAGUGAUUCUAAAUAUAAAGAUAUUAACUCAAUUACUAAAUAUUUAUAUGGUAAUAAAUAUUGUCGUUAAAAAAAUAAUCUAUUACCACAAUAUAUUUCUUUUGUCAGUAUAGUAAUUAAUAAUUGAGUUGAGUGAUCCUUUUUCCACCAGAGAUAAUGACAUGAAUUUAUGCCUAAUUCACAUAAAAAUGAAAAUUCAAUAUUAAAAUGGACAAAUAAAACCUACCCUUUCUCUCUCUGCACCAUAUGCAUACUUUAGAGUUUAAAUCUAUCAACUAUAAAAGUAGGGUGACAAAUAAAUAAAUUGGGUCAAAUUUGAAUGGGUUAGAACGAAUUGAAUUAGAUUACUGAAUGAAUUAUAAUUUAACCUAUUUUGUAAUUGUGCAGUGACAAAAAUAUUUCAAUGAUAUAUAUAUAUAUAUAUUGUAUUGAUGUUGUAUAAAUAGUUAGGUAAUAUAUCGAUAUUGUAUAAAUAAUGUAUAACUUAGUAUAUAUGACUUUUUUCACCACUUAUUUAGUUAUUUAUAAUCAGAAUUACAUCAUUUAUUAUAAUCAGAAUCAAGUAAACAUCGCUUUUUUCAUAUGCUUGAAAAUGAUCCAUACUAGCUAGUGUGAAUUUUCUUUUUAUACGGCACCUUAGUGCUUGUCCACUUUUUCAUGAUUGACAAAAAAAACAAUACUUCCAAAUAUAGUUUUAAAAAGGAAGAAAAUAGGGUAAUCCAAUUAAAUAUCAUAAGUCAUAAUAAUAACAAUUAUAUGCAUUAUUGGCUUCAUUUUUAAUUUUGACAUAAAGUAGAUAUAACUUUAAGCGCUUUUAGCUUUCAUUAAAUUCAAGAAUCAAUUAAUUAACAAUGCUUUUGCAUAUCAAUUUUGAAUUCAUAAGUAUAGUUUGAAAUACUUUUACUCCCUUUAUUUCUAUUUACAUGUCGUCCUUAAUAAAAAUAGGUGUUUCUUAAUAUUUGUUAUUUAAUUAAGACAAUGCAUAAAUGAAACUAUUCUUUCUAUUUUAUCCUUGAGAGUUAUUAGCCUUGAAAAUAUGCAUUUCACCAAUAUAGGAAAAACUAAGUAAAUAAUUCAUGUAUAUUGGUCAAAUUAAUUAAUCAAAAUAAAUAUAUUCAUGUUCAUUGAUUGAAAACUUGACUUUAAGAUAACACUAAAUAAGGUACGUGAAAUCUAAAAUAAUGAUAGCUAAAUUGGAAUGGAGAAAGUAUUAAAGAGGCAAAGUCACAUGAUCAUAUGAUGUUAAAUUGCCUUAUUACUAGGAUACUCUACUUUUCUUCCUUUACAAUGUUAAUGGUAUUUGCAACAAAUUUUAAAGCGAAAGAAAAUAAAUUACAAUCACAAAUAAAAUAUGAAGAAACAUAAUUUAUUGAUUAAGAUAUGUAAGUACAAUUUUGUUCCUCCCUUAUUCUUCUCUCAUAAGAUAUUUAUCCAUGAUUCGAGAGUUGUUAGUGACAUAUUUUUCGAACUAGGAUGAUUUGAAUUUAAUCUCCUUAUGAAUAUUUCAUGAAUUUGUAGAAUAUUCAUGAUGCCUCUUAAAGGGAAUAUAGUGCCCUUUAUAUAGACAUGAGGUAGGGUUUAAGGUUGAGUAGCCUCCAAGAAUCCUAAUUGAAAUUGAACACACCUUGUAGAAUCUCAACUCGAAUUGAACAUCUUGUAGAGUCCCAUAAAUUUUUAAUGUCUACAAGUGGCUUGUGCAAUAAUUAGUCCCUCUAAUCUAAAAUAAUCAUCAUCUUUGGACUUCCAAAUCUUAUUGACAUCCUCGUAGAUUUAACUUAUAGAUGGAUAAAAUGUCAUCACUUUUACUUAAUAGUCAAGUUCGAGUUAGCAAAAUUUAAUAUGAAUACAAGCAUUUUUAUUUAUGUUCUUAAUAGUAAGCGUUUUCCCCUAGUUUAAUAGAUCUUUUAUCCGGUGAUAAUCAAAAUUAACUGGGCGCAACAAAAUAUAAAAAAGAAAAAAACUUGUGCAUAUACUUAUCGCAUAAAGAAUUAUAUUAUUAUUAUUAUUAUUAUUAUUCUUGUUAUUAUUAUUAUUAUUAUUAUUAUUAUUAAUAAUAAUAAUAAUGUACUUUUGAUGAGAAAUAAUUACUUAUGAAAUUUGAUAAGUAUAUGUCUGUUAGUUAAAGUGAGUAAUAAUAUAUAUUAAGUUUGUUGUGGGAAUAUUGUGGGUUAACUAGGAUACAAUUACAAAUAAAGAAAAUAGAGAGAAGAAAAAUAAUACAAGGAUUUAACGAGGUUUUGGCUAGGCCUAACUUCCUUGAUUAAAACAUUUUGUUCAAAGAAAUUUCCCUCAAAAAGUCAAAUACACCCUAUAUAAAGUCAAAUUAAUACUCCCACCAUUUUUAAAAAAAAAGAUCUAUUUUGACUUGGCAUGAAAUUUAAGAAAAUAAAGAAAAAAUUCCAAUCUUGUGGUCCUAAAUUAAAGUUAUGUCAAAGCCCUUUAAUCUUGUAAUCUUAAAUAUGUCACAUGAAAAAUAUAAGUUAAAAUGUUGCUAAAAAAAUGAAAGUAAGUCAUUCUUUUUUAAACAGAAUAAAAAAAGUAAGUCAUUUUUUUUUUAAACUGAUGGAGUAGCUAGUAGCUUUCCUCUUUGGCUUAAUGGCUUAUAUGUAUCACAUUCAAUAACUUCAUCAAAUGAGAGUCACAUUUCUUGCAACUAGCUCUACCUAGUGCUACUACUAUAAUUAAAUACAUACCCCCCACAAAUACCUCUCAAACACAUCACAAAAAAAUAUGGACAUGGAAAUAGAGCAAGAGGGCAACUAUGAUAAGCCUAAGAAACUCAAGAAUUUCAUGUCAAUUAAGUCACUUCUUAUCCUCAUAUAUUCUAUCUUCUUUUCAAUUGGCCAAAUAUCAGGUGCAUUACUUGUUAGAAUUUACUUCUUACAUGGUGGAAAAAGAAAAUGGUUGCAAUCUUUUUUGCUAACAGCAGGGUUCCCAAUCUUGAUUUUACCAAUUUCAAUUUCUUAUAUAAAAAAAAGAAAAAAAUUUACUACUACUAAUAUCAAUAUUAGAGUUUUUGUCACACCUAAAUUAGCAAUAUUUAGUGCUAUUUUAGGCAUACUUCUUGGUAUUUGUAGCUACCUCUACAACUUUGGCAUGUCUUAUCUCCCCAUUUCGAUUUCUUCUCUCCUUGGUUCAACGUCCCUAGCAUUCACCGCGAUUUUCGCGUAUUUCAUGGUGAAACAUAAGUUCACAGAUUAUUCCGUGAACGCGGUGGUGUUGAUGAUGUUAGGGUCGAUUAUAUUAGGGUUACACAUGAAUAGAGAUCGUCCGAUAGGUGAAUCGAAUCGACAAUACACAUUAGGGUUUGUGAUGACACUUGUUGGUGCGGCUCUUCAUGGAUUUGUAAAUGCAGGAGUGGAGUAUAGUCAUGUUAAAGCUGGAGUUGUUGUCACGUUUGAUCUUGUCAUGCAAAUGCAAUUUCUUAUAUCAAUGUUCUCAGCUUUGUUUUGUAUCGUCGCCAUGAUUAUCAAUAAAGAUUUUCAGGUAACCGUCUUUUUUAAAGUUUAAGCCGUUAGAAAAGAAUUAUAGAUAGUCAUAUAUAGUAACGUACGAUAUCCAUUUUAUUUUAGCAUUUUACUUAUAUAAACUAGUAAAUUAGAAGUAUAUAUAAAUUUUAUAUUACAAGUGUAAUUUAAUCUACUAUAACAUGUUAUUUAUCUUAUAUGAGAAAUUAAAUAGUCUAGCAAAGGAAACAUUAUAUAACAAUUUUUAAAAUAGUUAAAAGAAUUUAAAUUCAUAAAAGUCGUGAAAACACUAUAUAAAGUAGUACAAUUGCUUCGUUCUGCUUUAUGUGAUAUACUUUAUGUGAUAUAUUUUGAAUUGACCAUGAUGACGAAACUUACCAAAGAAAUGAAGAUUUCUAAAAUGAAAAAGGAAGAAAGAAUUCGAGUUAACAAUGACACGAACUUUCUUUCUCUUUAUAAGAGUGAUCACUUAAAAAAAAACUUCUUUUUUUUGUGUGGUUAAGAAAAAAAGCCUGCUUUUCAAAAGAUAAUCAAGCAGCGUCAAUGACAAGAACUUUUUUAUUUACAAGAGUGAAAAAGAAAUUUUAUGUAAUUAUAAAUGGGAUAUGUUAGCGAUUUAUCUUUCUUUUUAGUCCGUUUAUACAAAAUAUCUUCUUCUCUAUAUUCAAUAAUUCUUUAAUUAAUUCCAAUAUUUUACAUGACUUUUUUUAAAAUCAGAAAGAUUCAAAGGGCAUUUUUGAUACAUUACAUAUAUGUAUGCAUCUUCAAUUUAAGACCACAAAGUUAAAAGAUCUCUUUUUAGUUUUCUAAAAUUUCAUGCAUAGUCAAACUACGACGCUUAAAUUAACAUCGAGAAAGUAUUUUUUUCUUUAAGAGUUUAAGAUAUAUACGUCAUCCAUGUAAAUCAUAUGCACGCAACACCAUCAGAUCAUGUUACAUGUUAUAGCAUGUAACCUGUUUUAUUUGCAUGCAAGAUUACAAAUCUCACAUCUUAAGGAUGUCUGUCUAGCUAUAAAUAUUCUUUGAAUAACCUGAGAGUGUAAGAAAAUCUUUUUAACAAUAUGUAGGCCAUCACUAGAGAAGCUGAAGAAUUUGGAUUAGGGGCAAAAAAAGUACUAUAUGAUAUUAGCAUUAACAGCAAUAUCUCUACAAACUAUGAUGAUUGGAAGUCUUGGGGAUGAUUUUCUGCUCCUCAGCACUAUUGUUUGGGAUAGUAAAAUGCACUUCUUAUUCCAAUACAACAAUAUUUGCUGUCAUUUUCUUGCCUGAAAGCUUCAAUUCUGAUAAGUGGAUGGCUUUAGCUAUGUGUCUUUGGGGUUUUGCUUUCUUAUUUCUAUGGAGAAUAUAAAGAUAGCAUGACCAACAAGGUUACAAAAAAUAAACAUGCUACCCUGCCAGACCAAGUUUGAAUAACAUUAAUGUUACUUUUUCUGUAUUCAGUGGUGUACGCAGAAUUUUAUGUAGUAAGUAAUUUAUUAGUAUUACAACUCUGUCAGUAUGGGAGUUUGGGUCGUCUUGGAUUGUGGAGUUCUUUUAAGAUUUUUAUUUUCGAUUGUAAAUUGAUGCAUGUUUAUUUCGAUUACUUUUUAAACGAUGUCAGCAUGUUGAGUAUGUAUAGUGUGGCGGAGCCAGAAAUUUUGAAACAAAUUGUAUUUCAUGCUCCAUUUUGUUUUUAUCUUGCAAUACAGUGUAGACAUUCUUUUUCUGGCAUUGUGUAGCGACCGAUUGUUAAUGCCUGGUAUUCGAAUAUUUGUUUGAGGCAUUUUAUAUAUUUUUUUUAUUCUGAAAAAAAAAGGACAUCUUAUGUUUUUGAACAGAUAACCAUCUUUUGAUAAUAUAGUCUCCUCCGUCCCUUGGGACUAACAAGGAAUACUAUAGAAAUAUUCAGAUGUUGUCCAUCAACUACGCCUUUCGGCCUGAUCUUAAGCCAAUGAACAAAUCGAAAAAGAAAUCUUUAUUGGUCUACCUCCUAUUUUUUAUAUAUGAAGAGAAUGAAUCUUUUUUCUUGAAUGAUCAGAAAAAAAUGAGUUCAGAUCUCCUGCUGGAAUAAUUUUGUCGGAGUUUAUUUAUUGCAUGAAACAACUCGCAAUAUGGGUCUAGCUAUAGAAAUUCUCUUUCGUUAUAUGAUUUCUUCUUCAUAUAGAUAUAUAUAGAAUCUAUGAAGUACAUUUUGUGCUAUAACCCUUCCUAUCUGAUUGAAAAUGAUCCCAUGAUUCUGAACUGGUUUUACCUGGGGUUGCAAAUCUCAAGUUUGUCUAUGAAGAGCGGAUCUAAUUGUAUUAAUGUCUAUAAUACUAAUCGAUAGGACCUCAUUGGUAAGUGUAUAUUUUAUAAAUAAUUAUAUACUGUAUGAAUACUCCCUUCAUCCCAUGUUAGAUGGACAUCUUACUGAAAAUAUUCGUCUCAUAUUACUUGAUCACUUACUAAAUCAAAAUAGAAUUAAUUAAAAAAUUUUGUUUUAUCCCUACAAUUAAUAUGACUUUUGGAAGUUUAAAUAAAUUUUAAAGAUCUAUUUUUUAAGAGGCUAAUUAAUAUGAACAAAGGACAAAAUGGUAAAAUUGAUCAAUGUAUUAUUGAUUUCUUAAUCACCAUGUUAAAUAGAAAGCGUUCAUUUAAUAUGAAACAAAUGGAGUAAUAUAUAAAUAUAAUGUAUAACCAAAUAUAUAGAUGAUGUAUGUAAUUAAUAAAUUUUGUAUUGCUGAUGUACAUACAUCCAUCCUGGGGUCAAUAAAACUACACUCCUGAUGGGUUUGUACUUGAAGUUUCACCUUAUCGAUAAACAAAUUGAUUUUAAUUCAAUCCCCUUUCCUAUUUUCCCAACCACAAUAAAUAAAUAAAGUAGUAGAAGAAAAAACCAUUAUCUGGAUUACAUGGUGAGGCAAAUUAAAGGAACAAUUAAGCUUAAGAAUUACACAACUUAUUUAUAAUCGCAAUCAAGUAAACAUCACUUUUUUCAUAUGCUUGAAAAUGAUCGGUUCGGUUUUAUAUAUUAUUGAUUUGGUUUAUCGGUUUUCAGUUUUUAAAUACAUUAAACCAAUAACCAAAUCCAUAAGAUAUUUUUUAUCGGUUUCGAUUUAUCGAUUUUUGUUCUUAACGGUUCGGUUUUCGGUUUAACCAAGAAAAUACUUAUAAAACAAAUAUGUGAUUUCUCUCUAAAUUUGGCGCGACAAUACAACAGUGUAACUUUACAAAUGCUCAUAAAAUAGAAACAAUAAUAAGAAAAACCUAAAAAGAGCUAUACAAGUGUAACACAAAGAGAAAUUAAGAGCAAUAUGAUUCUUACUUUAGGUUCUGACAUUUUGUAUAAUGAGAUGCUGUAAACUCAAAGUCACUGUGAAGUGUGAAUUAAAGGCUAUAGGACAAAAAAAUAACUAGUAAGAUAUUAAAAUUGAUAUUUAAUAUUUAUGUACAAGUAAAAGUAGUAAAUUACUAGUCUUAAUGAGUUAUUGGUUUACCCAAUAACCUAAUAUUAAAAACAAAUACCAAACUAAUAACCCAAUAAUUUUUUUUUAUAAAACCAUUAAAAAUCGUUAAUCCAAUAACAAUAAACCAAUAACAUUUUUUCGAUUCGAUUUCCCCGUGUAAAUUUCUUUUUCAUAUGGCACCUUAGUGCUUGUCCACUUUUUCACAAUUGACAAAAAAAUAAUUCAAAUAUAAGUUUUAAAAAAUAGGGCAAUCCAAAAUAUCAUAACAAUAUCAAUAAGCAUGAUUGGCUUCAUUUUUACUUUUGACAAAAAGUGGAUUCAUCAUUAAACACUUUUAACUUUCAUUAAUUUCAAGAAUCAAUUAUGCUUUUGUAUAUUAAUAUUGAAUUCGUAAGUAUAGUUUGAAUAAUUUUUAUUAAAUUAAAGAUGCUAAGUCACACAAUCAUAUGAUGUUAUACUGCCUUAUUACUCUAGGACUAGCUAAGAUCAUAUACACUCUACUUUUCUUCCUAUACAAUAAUGUUAGUGGCUUGUGCAACAACUAGAAUCUCUAUUCUAUAAUAAUAAUAAUAAUAAUAAUAAUAAUCCUUUAGGACUUUCAAUAUUGACAUCCUCGUAGAUUUAAGUUGUACUAUAUUAUCAAAGAUGGUGGUGAAAUGGAUAGAAUAUAUUCUACUCUUAACUAAAGGAGCUAAAUCCAAGGAUCUUAUUCCACCUUAUUCUUCACUAUUCUUAAUUAAUAAUCUCAAAUUUGAGUCUAAAACUGGAGAAGUUUAUGCUAGAGAACACUUACCUAAGACCUGAUUAAGGAUGAACCAGUCCACCACCGCAACACAACCCAUGUCGGUAUGUUUAAGUGUUAGUUAAAAUGAGUAGUAUGAAGUUAGAAUUUGAUAUAGUUAUCAGAAAAUAGACUUUCAUAAAAAAAAAAAAAAAAUCUCGUCGUACCAAAUACUAGAAAACAAUUUCCUUUAAAAACAUUUUCGCUCAAAAGACAAAUACACCUCAAUCUAAAGUCACUUUAACUUAUAUGUACCACUAAUAAACAUACACCUAGAAAUUAAUAUCUCUCUCACACAUUCACAAAAAAAUAUGGACAUGGAAAUUGAGCAAGAGGGCAACUACAAUAAGCCUAAGAAACUCAAGAAUUUCAUGUCAAUUAAGACACUUCUUAUUCUCAUAUAUUGUAUCUUCCUUUCAGUUGGCCAAAUAUUAGGUGUAUUGCUUGUUAGAAUUUAUUAUUUACAUGGUAGGAAAAAGAAAAUGGUUGCAAUCUUUAUUGCUAACAGUAGGAUUCCCAAUCUUGAUUAUACCAAUUUCAAUUUCUUAUGUCAAAAAAAAGACAAAAAAAUACCAAUAACAAUAAUAUUAGAUUUUUUGUCACAC
RNAcentral lists this long non-coding RNA (15292 nucleotides) under Solanum tuberosum (potato). RNAcentral describes it as "long non-coding RNA (STUB_LNC011842)". The record is from RNAcentral. Lineage: Eukaryota; Viridiplantae; Streptophyta; Magnoliopsida; Solanales; Solanaceae.